Molecule: ribosomal RNA, 253 nt
Filed under: uncultured bacterium
Lineage: Bacteria
Description: partial 16S ribosomal RNA
Rfam family: Bacterial small subunit ribosomal RNA
Source: RNAcentral
UACGUAGGGGGCAAGCGUUGUCCGGAAUCAUUGGGCGUAAAGAGCGUGUAGGCGGCUCGAUAAGUCUGCUGUGAAAGUCCAGGGCUCAACCCUGGAAGGCCGGUGGAAACUGUCGGGCUAGAGUCCGGAAGAGGCGAGUGGAAUUCCCGGUGUAGCGGUGAAAUGCGCAGAUAUCGGGAGGAACACCGGUGGCGAAGGCGGUUCUCUGGGCCUUACCUGACGCUGAGGAGCGAAAGCGUGGGGAGCGAACAGG